UAAGUGUCGCAUGGUCAGUUACACUAACUGGCUCAGUGCGUCUCUACCCUACGCCAACAGCUGUGGGUAACCCAUUGAACCCCAUUUGUGAUGGGGAUCAGGGAUUGCAAUUAUUCCCCAUGAACAAAGAAUUUCCAGUAAGUGCAUGUCAUAAGCUCGCAUUAAGU
RNAcentral lists this non-coding RNA (167 nucleotides) under Alligator mississippiensis (American alligator). Its description in RNAcentral is "Eukaryotic small subunit ribosomal RNA". It matches the Rfam family "Eukaryotic small subunit ribosomal RNA", at positions 1481 to 1646 of the family's 1831-position model. Lineage: Eukaryota; Metazoa; Chordata; Crocodylia; Alligatoridae. The record is from Rfam by way of RNAcentral.